This 440-nucleotide ribosomal RNA is filed under the name uncultured bacterium. RNAcentral's name for it is "partial 16S ribosomal RNA". It matches the Rfam family "Bacterial small subunit ribosomal RNA", at positions 338 to 795 of the family's 1533-position model. The record is from RNAcentral.
CCUACGGGUGGCAGCAGUGGGGAAUAUUGCACAAUGGGCGAAAGCCUGAUGCAGCGACGCCGCGUGAAGGAAGAAGUAUUUCGGUAUGUAAAGCUCUAUUAGCAGGGAAGAAAAUGCUGGUACUUGACUACGAAUCAGCGGCGACCUACGUGCCGCCAGCAGCGGCAAUAAGUAGGGGGCAAGCGUUAUCCGGAUUUACUGGGUGUAAAGGGAGCGGUGGCGGCUAGUCAAGUCAGAAGUGAAAGCGAAGGGCUCAACCUUGGGACUGCAUUUGAAACUGAGUAGCUAGAGUGCAGGAGAGGUAAGUGGAAUUCCUAGUGUAGCGGUGAAAUGCGUAGAUAUUAGGAGGAACACCAGUGGCGAAGGCGGCUUACUGGACUGAAACUGACGUUGAGGCGCGAAAGCGUGGGGAGCAAACAGGAUUAGAUACCCUAGUAGUC